Non-coding RNA from Manis javanica (Malayan pangolin), 557 nucleotides. NCBI's taxonomy places the organism in Eukaryota, Metazoa, Chordata, Mammalia, Pholidota, Manidae. The record is from RefSeq and is a predicted model, not a curated record.
UGUAGUUUGUUCAUUAUAAUUUAAUUUCUAAAGAUAAGUUUUGUGACUGUAAAGAGACAAAUUCAUAUGUUUAUAAAAUUCUCAUUAAUUGUUUCUGUGAAUUGGCUAACCUACAUAGAUAAAUAAUUGUUGAAAGUCAUGAAUGUGAAGAUUAUUAAAUAUAACCCUCUUGUUUGAUUUUAUGCUUGAAAACAGCUGUCAAUGAGCUAAAAAGGAAAUUACGGUACUUUCAUCAAAUACUUAUGGAGCAGAGUGCCAUAAAUGUCUCUUAGAAUAGUGACCAUAUUAAGAUGAGGAAAUUCAAUCAUAGAUACAAGGAGUAAAUUGUCCAGGGUCUUAACAGCUGGCUAAUUGUAAGGCUGGAGGUACCAGGGGAAGGGGUGAGCCUACUGGACAAGCUCAGACCUCACAAACAAGGCGAAGAGACCAACAGUUUCCGGUCUGACAACAUUCCAGGGUCUGAUGCAACAACAUUCCAGGAGUUCCUAACUAGAGCCCUCCCCCAAGCUAGAAGAGUAAUGGUAACUUUCCAGUACCCGUCUAAAGGCCAAUGAGAG